GAUGAAGAACGUAGCGAAAUGCGAUAAGUAAUGUGAAUUGCAGAAUUCAGUGAAUCAUCGAAUCUUUGAACGCACCUUGCGCUCCCUGGUAUUCCGGGGAGCACGCCUGUUCGAGUGUCGCGAAAUUCUUCAAGCCUUGGAUGGAUUUUUUUUGUCUGUCCUUGGGCUUGGUUGUUGGGCUCUGCCGUGUCCUUCAUUGGGACGGCUGGCCUUAAAGGCAUUAGCCGAUCCUCGUGUGGUACUGGUUCUACUCAGCGUGAUAACAAUCUGAUCGUUGAGGACAUCUUCUGGAUGGCCAGUCAUCAUUUGGGUUGCUUCUAAACCGGUUUCGCAGAUUGCUCAAUCUGUGUGCCACUUUUCCGCUUUGACCUCGAAUUAGGUGGGACUACCCGCUGAACUUAAGCAUAUCAAUAAGCGGAGGA
This 422-nucleotide unclassified non-coding RNA is filed under the name soil metagenome. Its description in RNAcentral is "partial contains 5.8S ribosomal RNA, internal transcribed spacer 2, and large subunit ribosomal RNA". The stretch from base 1 to 120 matches the Rfam family "5.8S ribosomal RNA", at positions 35 to 154 of the family's 154-position model. The record is from RNAcentral.